RNAcentral lists this ribosomal RNA (194 nucleotides) under uncultured eukaryote. RNAcentral's name for it is "partial 18S ribosomal RNA". It matches the Rfam family "Eukaryotic small subunit ribosomal RNA", at positions 1 to 191 of the family's 1831-position model. The record is from RNAcentral.
UCAACCUGGUUGAUCCUGCCAGUAGUCAUAUGCUUGUCCCAAAGAUUAAGCCAUGCAUGUCUAAGUAUAAACCACUUUAUACGGUGAAACUGCGAAUGGCUCAUUAUAUCAGUUAUAAUUUACUUGAUAGUCUCUUUAUCAUUGGAUAACCGUGGUAAUUCUAGAGCUAAUACAUGCAACAAGCCCGACUCGCA